AGUCUCGCAAGUGACUGAUACUCAAAGUUAGGUUAGAAGUUUCCUAAACUUUAGAUAGGGGUUCGAUUCCCCUCGGGGCUA
Molecule: transfer RNA, 81 nt
Filed under: Bacteroides thetaiotaomicron
Lineage: Bacteria; Pseudomonadati; Bacteroidota; Bacteroidia; Bacteroidales; Bacteroidaceae
Also listed under: 6 other names
Description: tRNA-Arg
Source: RNAcentral